Long non-coding RNA from Gavialis gangeticus (Gharial), 156 nucleotides. RefSeq lists it as uncharacterized. The record is from RefSeq and is a predicted model, not a curated record. The transcript has 3 exons. NCBI's taxonomy places the organism in Eukaryota, Metazoa, Chordata, Crocodylia, Gavialidae.
CAGUCUCCUCUUCUCCAGACUAAAUAAACCAAGUAAGGAACCUACACUUUCCCUUAACUUCCUCUUAUUGUUGACAUGCUUGUAGAAGCCCUUAUUGUUACCCUUCAUAUCCUUUGCUAGCUGCAACUCCAGUUGCACGUUGGCCUCAUCCCUGCA